AAUUUUGGACAAUGGGCGCAAGCCUGAUCCAGCCAUGCCGCGUGUGUGAAGAAGGCCUUCGGGUUGUAAAGCUCUUUCGGACGGAACGAAAUCUCGUAGGCUAAUACCCUGCGCUUUUGACGUUACCGUCAUAAUAAGCACCGGCUACCUACGUGCCAGCAGCCGCGGUAAUAAGUAGGGUGCAAGCGUUAAUCGGAAUUACUGGGCGUAAAGCGUGCGUAGGUGGUUGGUUAAGUCCGGCGUGAAAGCCCCGGGCUUAACCUGGGAACUGCGUUUGAAACUGGUCAGCUAGAGUACGGUAGAGGGGGGUGGAAUUCCAUGUGUAGCGGUGAAAUGCGUAGAGAUGUGGAGGAACACCAAUGGCGAAGGCAACCCCCUGGGCUGAUACUGACGCUCAUGCACGAAAGCGUGGGUAGCAAACAGG
Molecule: ribosomal RNA, 424 nt
Filed under: uncultured bacterium
Lineage: Bacteria
Description: partial 16S ribosomal RNA
Rfam family: Bacterial small subunit ribosomal RNA
Source: RNAcentral